AAAAAAAAACCAAAAC
This 16-nucleotide small RNA is filed under the name Arabidopsis thaliana (thale cress). Its description in RNAcentral is "ATSL256010". Lineage: Eukaryota; Viridiplantae; Streptophyta; Magnoliopsida; Brassicales; Brassicaceae. The record is from RNAcentral.